RNAcentral lists this long non-coding RNA (572 nucleotides) under Prunus persica (peach). Its description in RNAcentral is "long non-coding RNA (PPER_LNC004666)". Lineage: Eukaryota; Viridiplantae; Streptophyta; Magnoliopsida; Rosales; Rosaceae. The record is from RNAcentral.
GCAAGUAUGGGCAGCUGGAGCAGUUGGGAGCAGCUAAGAGAGGUGUGCUUCACCAGCCAAAGGGGAGCACGAAAUUGCACUCUAUAAAUAGAGAGUUGCACACUCAUUCAAGGAGGGAGGGCAGACACACACAUUCACUUCAUCCAUUACUCUCAUACACACAUUCAGAUUCACCACAAAGAGAGAAGGGAGCUUGGAGCUGUCAAGGGAGCUUGGAGCUGUCCUGGGAACUUCCUUGCUGCCACCAUCUAGUUCUUCUCCUCUCUUUAUCCUAUCUAUGUAUUUCUUAUUUUCUGUAUUCAUAGUUAUGUCUAACUAAUCCAUUUAGUUAGGGCUUAGGAUGAAGCCCUAGUCAUGAAUAUUCAAUGUUAUGGAUGAUUUUAUAGUUAAUUGAUUUCUUUGCUUUUAUUAUCAAGUUGUUAAUCUCCAGUUUAUUAUGUGCUUGAUGUAUGUUUUCUUGGAGUAGCUAACUAGGAUUUUAUGCAUCUAGCACAGGUUGGGAAGGGGUUUAGAUUCACCAAUUCUACUCUCCUUUCACAAGCAACACAUGAAUGGCCUAAGAAUCAUUCAAG